This 2908-nucleotide long non-coding RNA is filed under the name Homo sapiens (human). RNAcentral's name for it is "HSALNT0029344". Lineage: Eukaryota; Metazoa; Chordata; Mammalia; Primates; Hominidae. The record is from RNAcentral.
CGGCUUCUCCCGCUGCCGUCUUCGCGCAGGGUUGAGUUUGUGCAUCGAUUGUGAACACAACAGGCAGCAGGCUAUAAUGGUGGUCCUGGCUGGAGUAGUUUUCACAGACUUCAGUAAUCUGUGGAGAUGAACGGGCAGUUCUCUGUAGUUUUCACAGAUCACUGCCAGUUCGUUUUGAGGCCUUCAGGAGUGAAGACCUGGCUCAUCAUCACUCUUUGUUGUUUUGUUAAAUUUAUUUACACCCUACUUUAUUCCAGAGGAAAGGAUUUAACGUAGUUUACAUAAAUGUGUACAUCAGGGUAAAUUAAAAAUAAGUACAGAGAAAAAUAGGACAAAAGAAAACCGUGAGUGUGAAAGAUAAGAUUAAGCCAGCAGUUUUGUAUGCAAAAUGCAUGGUGUAAGGUCCUAUUGGUUUGCUGGAGGUAGGCCACACAUAUGACUCUCAGUUUUCUAGCAACCAAGAAAAAGAUCAGUUGCAAUCGGAGUAGGUGUUUUGGCUAAGCUGGAACUAGGACUUGAAUAUAGCAGCUUGUAGAGUUAUACCACUUGCCCAAAUCUCUUCCAUGAGCCUCUUUAAGUGUAACAGAAUGCCUGGGAGCACGUAAAUGCUCCUACUUAGAUGCCUACUUAGCCUCUAAUUUUCAUGGGGCCCAUGAAUCCCAUGAAAAAGAACUUUGAACCCUGUCCACAAUUAGAGUUCAGGUAUACGCAGACAUGUUUAAAGACAAGGGACACCCAAAGGAAAGAUUGCACAGAGAGAAAGUGAGCAUCCGAGAGAAAAUCACCACAAGUGAGGCAGAGGGAGGCCGGUCUCAGCAGAGUUUUGGAGGUCGUGAGAAGAAGAGAUAAUGUCUGUGCCUAUCAGAUAAAGGCAAACCAGUGCUCAGAGGAACCCAACCAUCUCUGAAUUGAGACCAGAGAGCUGUCUCUAUGGAUAGUCCUUAGAGAAGGCAUUUCGGAACACAGUAAACAGCAGCCUGGUGACUCCGAUUACAGGGCCAGUUGCCUUUGUUACAAUAAAAGCAAGUCAUCUACACAGAUUUUUCCUACCAGGAAGAGCAUGUGCUGACCAACAGACAUGAAUUUCAGCCUGGUAGUUACAACAUUCACAGUAUACCCACAUCACUAAGCUGGGAGGCACAUUUUGAGACCCAGAAUCCUGACACCUCCAUGCCUUCAAAAGGACAAACUGCGGCCUGGACCAGCUGGUGAAACAUAAUUCUGAAUCCUGCCCACAGCCUUCGGUGGUUUUGGAUGAAAGGCCAGCGCCUUGGGAGCCCUGCGUUUGAUUUCAAGUUUUAAGGCCGGCACUGGUGGAGCAAUGAAUGGUGAAAGCUCUCCCCUUAAAGGAGCACAGUUGCCUUUAGGUGACUGCUAACUCAGGCUUUUGCUGAGGACAGUGUUUACUUUGUGAGCUUAAUGACAGGGCUGGCUUUCUGGGAGUGUUGCAAUGAAACAGACUCAGACACAGGCCAUCAUGGGCCUCCUCCCUAGCAAGGCCGCCACGGCUGGCAUCUCAAGAGCAGUCCGUUGAACUUGGGAUUUGGGUGUGAGACACAGUUUCAUCAGAAGAAUUUAAACCAAAGUCUACAUUUGCCCUCUAGAUAAAUGUGUGUGUUCAGCAGCAACCACAACUCCUUGCCUCAUUCUCUUGGUUGAUUAUGUGACUGUGAGAAGAAAAGCAAAAGCAAAAAUGCGAAGCGUAGCUAUGAUGCUAUUUUAGUUAAAAAUAUUCUGGUAGAAUUUGAAGGUACCAUAGAGAUUACCUACAGAUGGAAAAAACUGAAGGUCAGAGAUGGGAAGUGCCUUGUCCAAGAUCACACAGCAUAUAAGGGAAGAAGUAGGACUGAAAUCCAGAUUUCUCUGUUCCUGUUCCUGUUUUCUCUUUUCUUUUUUUGAGACAAGGUCUCACUCUGUCGCCCAGGUUGGAGUGCAAUGGUGCAAUCUCGGCUCACUGCAACCUCCAACUCUUAGGCUCCAGAGACCAUCCUACCUCAGCCUCUUUAGUAGCUGAGAUCCUGGCUAUUUUUUAUUUUUGGUAGAGAUAGGGUUUCACCAUGUGGCCCAGUCUUGUCUUGAACUCCUGAGCUCAAACGAUCCACCCACCUUGGCCUCCCAAAGCGUUGGGAAUAUAGUGUGAGCCACUGCACCCGGCCAGGUCCUGGUCUCUUUUCAUUAUUAUACAGCUGUCAACAAUCAUGGAGAGUUCUUUUUCCCUUUUGUUGGGUUCUUGUUCCUUUGCAAAGUCUAUAAAGAACCAAGAUGAUCCAGGAAAUUCAGGGAGUCCUCAUUCACUUCCAAAGGCAGUUUGUUGUCUGUUGGCUGUGCUGUAUGAAUUGCUGUUUCAAUUAAGUUUUUCAACAUUUCCUAUGAAGGCAUGCAAAUGACCACUGAUUCUAAAUAAACCCAUUUAGGUAUUCAGGGUUUAUAAAUAUAGAGAAUCUUGCUUUCUGCCUCAUUCUUUCUGUCUUCCCUGGCAUUCUUCCCUCUAUCCACCUCCACUGAGAUGCAUUUUUAUAAAAGACUUUACUUAGGACACAUAUUUUGAUGAAAUCCUUAACAUUUUUCUUCUUUCCCAAUUUUUAUAUUAUCAUUGUUAUAAUGCAUUACAAUAAUUUAUAUUUUGCAAAUUUGUUUUAAUAUGUUAAUUUUGCAAUGUAACUAUCUCAAGGCUUCUAAUGAGGAGAGGAGGAGGCCACAGAUAGGACUAGAUAGAGAGACUUUUAAAGAUGUGGGUAGGGUGUUUGUGAAUGUCUGGGCAGUGGAAUAUUUAUGCAGCACUGUGGGUGUUUUGAACCCUCUGGAAACUAACAAGCAAGCUCCACACAUAAACUUGGUGGAAGUCCUCCAAACUUUGGACAACACAGAGGCCUUUCAGAAGUCUGAACCAAGUCCAAGUCAAAUUACA